UACGGAGGAUGCGAGCGUUAUCCGGAUUUAUUGGGUUUAAAGGGUGCGUAGACGGGCUUUUAAGUCAGCGGUAAAAAUUCGGGGCUCAACCCCGUCCGGCCGUUGAAACUGGGGGUCUUGAGUGGGCGAGAAGAAGGCGGAAUGCGUGGUGUAGCGGUGAAAUGCAUAGAUAUCACGCAGAACCCCGGUUGCGAAGGCAGCCUUCCGGCGCCCUACUGACGCUGAGGCACGAAAGUGCGGGGAUCGAACAGG
Molecule: ribosomal RNA, 252 nt
Filed under: uncultured bacterium
Lineage: Bacteria
Description: partial 16S ribosomal RNA
Rfam family: Bacterial small subunit ribosomal RNA
Source: RNAcentral